RNAcentral lists this non-coding RNA (92 nucleotides) under Kurthia massiliensis. Its description in RNAcentral is "Purine riboswitch". It matches the Rfam family "Purine riboswitch aptamer". Rfam says of the family: Riboswitches are metabolite binding domains within certain messenger RNAs that serve as precision sensors for their corresponding targets. Allosteric rearrangement of mRNA structure is mediated by ligand binding, and this results in modulation of gene expression. The record is from RNAcentral. Lineage: Bacteria; Bacillati; Bacillota; Bacilli; Caryophanales; Caryophanaceae.
AAUUUAGAACAACUUACUCAUAUAAUCGUGGGGAUAUGGCCCACAAGUUUCUACCGAUUCGCCGUUAACGAAUCGACUAUGAGAGGCAAUCU